GCUUCUUUUUUGCAUACUAAUACUUCAUUGGAUAUGUUGAUUAUGGGAGCUUUACGUAUUCCAAUUAAUGGCCAUUAAGGCCAUUGGUGAUUUCUUAUAAACUAAUACUUCAUUGGAUAUGUUGAUUAUCAUUAUGGGAGCUUUACGUAUUCUAAUUGAUGGCCAUUAAGGCCAUUGGUGAUUUCUUUUAGACUAGUUACAUCUUUAAGUAAUAAGAAGAGCUUAAGUUGUUCAUUGUCUUUCAUAGCUCUCGGGGUGUGUGGAGGUGAUUGGAGUAGGGAAGGUUUGUCUGAAAUCACUGUGGGUGCUUACUCAUUAGCAUAUGUAGCAAACCUUUUCUGUUCUUCUAAACUACUAGACUUUUACGCAGCUGAUUCGGCCGUAGAAUGGUUGGUUUGCUAAAUUAGUUUAGUUGGAUAUUAAUUGUACCUCCUUCUUCUUUUUUCUUUUAUCUGUAUCUUCGUAAUUUCAUCUGUCCUGUUUUCAUCUCAUUUGUAUGUUGAGUUCGUUUUUCACCUUGUGCUGAUUGCUCUUAACACUUGAUCAAUGUGCUUUUUCAUGCAAAGUCCAUGUAAAAUGUUUGCCAUACUUGAUUGUUUUUUUACCCUUAACUGUAUACAGGGAGAUCUCGACACUUCUUGCACGAUCCUUUUUUCUGAGAGCAUCAUUGUCUGCAUGUAGAUAUUAAUUUAAUGUCAACACUAAACUUUUACCAAGUAAAGCCUCUGCUAAAUAAAUUAUACAGAAGAAAAUCAUUCCUCAAAUAAAUUCUAAGCAUUUAAGUAACACUUGAUCAAUGUGCUUUUUCAUGCAAAGUCCAUGUAAAAUGUUUGCCAUGCUUGAUUGUUUUUUACCCUUAACUGUAUACAGGGAGAUCUCGACACUUCUUGCACGAUCAUUUUUUAUGGGAUUUUCCUUGACAGUAUUGGCUUUGCUCGCCCGAAUAAGAGUUCUAGUUCAGCAAGUAAGUAUUCUCAGGAUAGUUUUAUCAUUUUCAAGUAAGUAAAAUUUGAUCAUUUUAAAUGCUCUUUUCUUAGUCUUACUUAUAAUAGUAGAGGUUGCCGGCCCAACUUGUGUGCUAAGGCGUUGUUGUUGUUGUUGUACUUAUAAUAGUAAAGGUCCUGCACAUCGAUUGUGUUCUUUCAAAUUUUCAAUUUGUUGAAGUUAUUGUUUCUAGUUUAAUACACUGGAGUCAUGAUAAUUUCUGGAACUUAUUUAAUUGGAGUAACUGAUCUAAUUCAAGAGUCUAGGGGAAUGGGAAUCAUGAAAUAACAUGAGAAUUUU
This 1284-nucleotide long non-coding RNA is filed under the name Nicotiana benthamiana. Its description in RNAcentral is "long non-coding RNA (NBEN_LNC012030)". Lineage: Eukaryota; Viridiplantae; Streptophyta; Magnoliopsida; Solanales; Solanaceae. The record is from RNAcentral.